ACUUUUGUGUUGUGUUUAUUGGAGAAGAUGGCAUGUCAGUCACUAAAAUAAGCGCUUCGGAUUGGAUUGCUGCCGAGGCUCCAGGGACCCACGCCAAACUUUGCUCCCGAAAUGGAUUCUGGGUUCGUAGUCUCAGCAUUACUUCUGCUUCUGAGAAGCCGCGUGCCAGAGGAACCGGUUGGACUACAUAUCCCAGAGGUGCGUGAACAGCGAAGUCUUGAUAGUAAACAAGAGUCAUAGGGACACGUGUAUCAGCUCGUUUGUUUUGGUGUCUGGGACAAAAGGGAGGAGGCGGAGGAAGGGAGCAUUUUAAGGCUUUGGCCUCUUCUCCUCCUCUGGACUGGUCCUAGCAGUCAGAGCAGCCCCAGCCUCUCGCGGUACCGGUUCUCGGUCAUAAACAGCCAUAGUGCCUGGCUGCUCAGAGUUUGGCAGCAGGCCAAGGUCAGUGACUGCUUUAAAGACUUAGAAGUUCAAACAUGGGGUAUUGCUUAAAUACUGAGAAUACUGCUGUGCAAAUUCUCAAAAGCAAGUUGUUGGUCAUAUUUAUAAUCUUGCAGCUGAAGAUGGCACUUCUGCCAAACUACUACACAGUUUAAGAAGUGAUGUUUUUGAAUAAACUCCACCUUGACUUCCAAUGAUGCCUUCUAAAUUAAAUAGUAUAAUACAAAAGAUAGUAGAUACCGACUUUACUGGGCCUCUCCAAGUAAUAUGGAAAAGAAACUUAGGUACUCUAAAACCCUGUAGUGUAAUUCAAGAACUAUAGUAUCAAUUUAUAUCACAAAAUAAAU
Long non-coding RNA from Phyllostomus discolor (pale spear-nosed bat), 788 nucleotides. RefSeq lists it as uncharacterized. The record is from RefSeq and is a predicted model, not a curated record. The transcript has 4 exons. Lineage: Eukaryota; Metazoa; Chordata; Mammalia; Chiroptera; Phyllostomidae.